AUUGAACGCUGGCGGCAUGCUUUACACAUGCCAGUCGAACGGCAGCGCGGGCUUCGGCCUGGCGGCGAGUGGCGAACGGGUGAGUAAUACAUCGGAACGUGCCCAGUAGUGGGGGAUAGCUCGGCGAAAGCCGGAUUAAUACUGCAUACGACCUGAGGGUGAAAGCGGGGGAUCUUCGGACCUCGCGCUAUUGGAGCGGCCGAUGGCAGAUUAGCUAGUUGGUGGGGUAAAGGCCUACCAAGGCGACGAUCUGUAGCUGGUCUGAGAGGACGACCAGCCACACUGGGACUGAGACACGGCCCAGACUCCUACGGGAGGCAGCAGUGGGGAAUUUUGGACAAUGGGCGAAAGCCUGAUCCAGCAAUGCCGCGUGUGUGAUGAAGGCCUUCGGGUUGUAAAGCACUUUUGGCGGGAACGAAAAGGACUGUGCCAAUACCACGGUUCGAUGACGGUACCCGCAGAAUAAGCACCGGCUAACUACGUG
This 484-nucleotide ribosomal RNA is filed under the name uncultured bacterium. Its description in RNAcentral is "partial 16S ribosomal RNA". It matches the Rfam family "Bacterial small subunit ribosomal RNA", at positions 29 to 507 of the family's 1533-position model. The record is from RNAcentral.